GGUUGUGGCUCAGUGGUAGACUACUUGCUUAGCACGUGUAAGACCCUGGGUUUGAUUCUCAGCACCA
Molecule: transfer RNA, 67 nt
Filed under: Marmota monax (woodchuck)
Lineage: Eukaryota; Metazoa; Chordata; Mammalia; Rodentia; Sciuridae
Description: tRNA.Ala
Source: RNAcentral